Long non-coding RNA from Micropterus dolomieu (smallmouth bass), 774 nucleotides. RefSeq lists it as uncharacterized. The transcript has 3 exons. The record is from RefSeq and is a predicted model, not a curated record. NCBI's taxonomy places the organism in Eukaryota, Metazoa, Chordata, Actinopteri, Centrarchiformes, Centrarchidae.
AGGAUAUUCACAUCUUCUUAAUCAUUUGGCCAUUUACAGAUCAUGUGUAUCCUGCCUUCCCCAUCAGGAAAAUAGUUGGAGGAGCAUCAGUGAUUUACACAUGCGCGACAUCUAUAAGCUGAGGAGGAACAGGAGCAGGGAACAACAGCAUAACAGGAGUUUGACAGACACUCCCUCCCUCUUCCUCUGCAACCCCACCCCCUCGGCCAUUCUCAGAGGAGUUGUUCCCUGCCCAGUGGCAUGUGGAUGUGUGUAAUGGAGAUGGAUGGUGGCUGGCUCUGCCACACCGUGGAACAGACGGACUCCUCCCUAAACGCCUGUCUGCCAGCCUCCAUCAGUCUCCCUUCGACAGCCACCCCGGAAUAGAGCCCAGGCUCAAUAUUGGCCUGCUCAGCCUUUUCACUGCUGACUUUUUGUAAAAAAAAAAAUAGAAGAACAAAGAAGAAUUAAGGAAAUCAAGCAGCAAAAUCUACAUGCACAACAACAAGUAAUGUCAGAGCAACCCAGGGGUGCAAAAGCCGCAGCGAGCUCCCAAAGAGUCUAUUUUGCAAAGAAAUAUCCCACAAUCCUUUGGGAGCUUGUAUAGCUAUUGUUGUUGUGCUCCUCCUACACCUUGCUUCUUCCUCUUCAACUACUUUCCUGAACCCACAGUUCUGUAGAGACUUUAACCGUGUGUGCAGGUGUGUGUGUGUGUUUAUUUUGGUGUCUACAAAGGCUGUAUUAUCUUCUCGUUCCUUAUGCAUUUAUGUUCUGUCUGGUAUGGUUCAUACUGCU